Molecule: unclassified non-coding RNA, 52 nt
Filed under: Xanthomonas citri pv. fuscans
Lineage: Bacteria; Pseudomonadati; Pseudomonadota; Gammaproteobacteria; Lysobacterales; Lysobacteraceae
Description: sX9
Rfam family: Xanthomonas sRNA sX9
Source: RNAcentral
AUGUACCACUCGUACACUCCGGUUCCUGCGCGCCGUCCACGCCCACCUGGCG